GUAGGGUUUUAUAAAAAACAAAACUCCCCUCACUAUCUUCUUUGGCUUCUCGCCUCUUUCUCUGCCUCUUUUCUUAUGAGAUAUGUUGUCGCCUUGGACUAAUCCAAGCCUUUGAUUUCUAUUGCUAUGGAUUAUCAACAGUCCAGAACUUCUAUUCUUUCGUGUUGGUGUGCCAGCUAACAAGAUUGUGUCUGCUCUCAGGUUAUAUGGAUUGUGCUCCUAAUUUGCUGACAAAUCUUAUCUAUUGAAGAGAUUCUUCUUCACUUUGGCAAGUUCUCAUUUUUCCUUCUUUGCUCUCUAGCUUUUGUCUUCCUGUAGGUUGGUCCUCAAUUGGAGUGAAUGGAUAGCUUUGACAUGCCUCCUUGAAAGAGUGUUAACUUUUUCUAGGUUUAAAUGUCUUAUCUUGACCCAAGAUCCUCCCAUUUUGUCUCAUCCUUUUUGGUGGGUUAAAUAAUUUAGGUCAGAUAGAUUUCAAUUAUUAAAUUGAUUUUAAAACCUAUCAAUCAGAUUCAUUGGCAUGCUUUUCUUCCCUCAUAUGGUUGAAUAAUUGUCGUGGAGGAGCAUAUAGAAAUAAACUUUUCCAAUUGUGUUCCAAUAUGAGUAUAAGAAAACAAAUAAAAAACUAAAGAAAAUCUCUAGUGAGUAUUUUAUUAGAGAACGAAGAUAAACUAAACAUAUAUUAAAGCAGUCUAAUUAUGUUUUUAAGUAUUUACUUAAAGACUCACUAAGGUGGCACUCCACAAUUCUUUGUUUGACAUAUCGUCCUGAUCUAUAGAAAUUCAAGAAAUGAGUUGGAUUUUAUUUGUGAUGAAGAAUUUGAUACCAAAUCAAGUAUUUUUAUCAUGGAAGUUCCAAUUUUGGUGAUGACUAAGUUAAUCCGAAUUAACAUCCAAAAAUGAAGAUGGGUGUCCACUACCACACUCAUCAAUAUAGAAUCUUAAGUUAGGGAAAUAGUUUAACUUAUAUAUACAAAAAAUAUGUAACCCUUAAUUUUGUAUAAGGAAAAUUUGAUCCAUAUAUAACAAAUAUUUCUUGUUUGUCAUUCUAUACGUUUUUGGGGAUUCAACACACACUAGUAGGUAAAAUGAUGGAACGGUAGAGGUUGUCUAUAAGGCGGUUGCAAUGACAAUCAUUCUGGUAGAAAUGGAAUAUAAUCAGAAGGUCCUGAAGGUGUUAAGUUGGUAGAGGAGGUACUCAUUACGGUAGGGGUGGUGCUCAAACAAGCGACAUGACAUAAUUUUAUUCUUUUCCAGGAAGGCCAGAGGCAGAAGCAUUACACACAUUUAUUACAGAUUGAAUUUUCAUUUAUUGUAUAACCAGUGCCAAGUUGAUUCUAUACAUGUGAUCGAACACGAUAAUUGGUACACUGGGGGAGUGUCCUUUACAAUUCUUUAAUACUAGAAAAAAGUCCCCUCAAUGUUCUAAUACCCUCACUGAACCAAUCGGUUGAAGAGGCUACUUGGGAUACCGAAGCAGACAUGUGCAAGAAGUAUUCCUAAUUAUUCAUCGAUUCAUUAUUUAUCAUUUGAAUUUUGAAUGCUCUUUUUCUCCCUCCUAAUCGUGACAUCUCAAUUCUAAUUAACCGCCUAGACGUGUUUCAACAAACUUCUUAAUUUUAUUUUUCAUUUGUAUAUGAAGAAUCUCAAGUAUUUAUAAAUAUCAAUUUGUUUAUAUUUCAGUAUUUGUAUACGUUUUGAUAGUUUUGUUGUCAUAUUAUACAUAUCUAUAUUUAUUUUUAUAUACACAGACAUCCAUUUCUAUUUUCUGGUACGUAGUUCUAUGUGUUUAUUUAUUUAUUUUUGGUUGUACUUUUUAUUUCUAAUUAUUCCCCAAAAUACCUUAUACAAACCAAAUAUAUAAUUUCAGCAUUUAUAUACAAUUAUAGGGGUGAACAUUUGGUAUUCGGUUCGAUUUCAGUUUUUUUUUCGGUUUUUCAAUUUUUGGUUCUUGUAAAUUGUGUGCCGAAUACCAAACUGAAAUAUUUCAGUUCGGUUCGGUUUUUGUUAUUUCGAUUAGGUUUUUAUUAAUUCGGUUUGGUUUUUUUA
Solanum lycopersicum (tomato) is the source of this 2045-nucleotide non-coding RNA. Lineage: Eukaryota; Viridiplantae; Streptophyta; Magnoliopsida; Solanales; Solanaceae. The record is from RefSeq and is a predicted model, not a curated record.